GCCUUGGUAGCUUAACGGUUAAAGCGUGCCUCUGAAGAAGGCAAGAAAGUGAUUCGAUUUCAUUUCAGGGCA
This 72-nucleotide transfer RNA is filed under the name Peniophora lycii. Its description in RNAcentral is "tRNA-Phe". It matches the Rfam family "tRNA". From Rfam's summary of the family: Transfer RNA (tRNA) molecules are approximately 80 nucleotides in length. Their secondary structure includes four short double-helical elements and three loops (D, anti-codon, and T loops). Lineage: Eukaryota; Fungi; Basidiomycota; Agaricomycetes; Russulales; Peniophoraceae. The record is from RNAcentral. RNAcentral also lists the same sequence under 1 other name.